This 72-nucleotide transfer RNA is filed under the name Trichobilharzia regenti. It matches the Rfam family "tRNA". Rfam says of the family: Transfer RNA (tRNA) molecules are approximately 80 nucleotides in length. Their secondary structure includes four short double-helical elements and three loops (D, anti-codon, and T loops). Further hydrogen bonds mediate the characteristic L-shaped molecular structure. tRNAs have two regions of fundamental functional importance: the anti-codon, which is responsible for specific mRNA codon recognition, and the 3' end, to which the tRNAs corresponding amino acid is attached (by aminoacyl-tRNA synthetases). tRNAs cope with the degeneracy of the genetic code in two manners: having more than one tRNA (with a specific anti-codon) for a particular amino acid; and 'wobble' base-pairing, i.e. permitting non-standard base-pairing at the 3rd anti-codon position. Lineage: Eukaryota; Metazoa; Platyhelminthes; Trematoda; Strigeidida; Schistosomatidae. The record is from Rfam by way of RNAcentral.
GGCCUCGUGGUGUACCGGUUGGCACUCUGGACUUCAAAUUCAGCGACUCGAGUUCAUGUCUCGGCUAGGUCU